CAGGACAUGCCCGGACUUGUUCAGCUGCCCACUUCCAGGGCUGGUUUCUUGCCUGCAAAGCAGUCUUACUAAUCCAUACUUUCUUUCCUGCAGACACACACAUUGGCUUUGAACCAAGGAUGCAACCCCAUACCAGAGCAGUCCCGGGGGGAGAAAAAUCCAGACACAAGAAGAAAAAAGGAAACUAUGCCAGCGAUUGCAAGCUUCUACAUGAUAAGACAGCCCUAUAGAGAGGCCCAGGCGAUGAAGGAACAAGGCCUGCCAACAACAACACGAGUAAAAUCAGAAGCAGAUACUACCAGCCCCAGGUGAGCCAUCAGAUAAGACCGCAGCCUUGACCAACAACUUGACGGCACCCAUAUCAGAGGUGUUGAGCCGAAGAUGUCCAGCUAAGCCAUGUCUAUGUUCUUGACCCACAGAAACUGUGAGAG
Molecule: long non-coding RNA, 431 nt
Organism: Felis catus (domestic cat)
Lineage: Eukaryota; Metazoa; Chordata; Mammalia; Carnivora; Felidae
Exons: 2
Source: RefSeq, a predicted model, not a curated record